Molecule: long non-coding RNA, 2637 nt
Organism: Tympanuchus pallidicinctus (lesser prairie-chicken)
Lineage: Eukaryota; Metazoa; Chordata; Aves; Galliformes; Phasianidae
Exons: 6
Source: RefSeq, a predicted model, not a curated record
GUUCAUCGCUUCGCUGCCGGGCGGGCCGGCCCUCAUGGCCUUGGCCAAUCAGCGUGUAGGCGCGCGGGAGCUGAUGCUGUGAGCCAGCCAAUGGCUGCACGGCUCGAGCGGUUGCUGGAGGCGCUGCGGGUGGCCAUCUUGUGGCGGGCUGCAGCAUGGAGGCGAAGCUGCGUAGGGCGGCUUGAGGCGUUCUGUCGUGUUCACCCUAGCCUGUUCGCCUUUACCUCGGGGUGAUGAAGUCUGUCUAAGGCCUUUCGGCACCGACUCUUACGCUUUGCUAAGACAGAGGCAGAAAGGUUUUUAUCUCCCAUUGGUGAUAAAAACAGAAUCACCCAGAGCCCAGUCAUGGAGUUAGCCUUAGAAGGAAUAAUCUUUCUUCAGAGCUGAGGCCUCAGGUAUGCAUACAACAUGCAACACUGCUGUCAAAUACAGGCAAGAACGCUUGAAUUCAACCUUCAAAUUGGGAAAUCACUGGCCUUCUCCAACUCCACUGCCAGCGCAGUAGUGAUAAAGCUCACCUGGACAGCUACAUGGUAUGAAAGUACCAUGAAGAAGGAGACAAUCCUACGCCCCAAAGAGCCAGGCAGAAUACACACACUGUGCAGAAUGAGUUCACAGCACUGAGGUCCAUCUACAAGAGCCUCUCACUCUCCUGGGGAAGCUUCGUGUGCCGCACAGAAGAUGGAAAAGCAGAAAUGUUUUGGUUUUUUUUCCCCCCCAGCCAGAGACCUUAUGUCACAGCCUCACUGACAGCAACACAGUUCUUCAAGGUCUCAGCUGUUUUAGGGGAACCACGGGGCAGUUCAGGUGGAAAGAUACCAUCGCUCUUCAAAAAAAUAUUAACAACAGUUGUUAAAAAGUCUGUUCUCUUCUGUAGCAUUUCCUUAAAUGUGGGAAGAAAAAAAAAAGCUUCUUUUAUUCUAAAUAUUUGCCAUCUCUCUCCUGCCUUAGUCACCAACAAGCAAGCCAUUAGCAUGGCAAGGUCCCUGCCUGAAGUCCCCUAACUACUAGGUCCCUACUAGACUUCUGAUACAGUCAGGAUGAGGGCAUCAUUGCACACUGGCAGUUCUCUUACAUUGCAACUCUUCAAGUGAAGCAGCAGGAUUCAAUACAUGGUUUGUUUUGAAAGCUAAAAGCACAUCUCAGAAGGGCAACUUGGAAGCUCUCUGAAUGCCACUUUUGGGGAGGGAUCAGCAAAGCAGGACAUUCUCCCUAUAUGUGUGACUCUCACAUCAAAGUCACAGCAGGAAUCUCCUCGAGAUGACACUCCAAAGACUUAAAAAACCCCACACACCAUUUUUAUUUGUCUUGUUUUCUAAGGAGCCACUCAAGGUUACAUGGGCUGAUGCAGGUCCGAGUGUUGCAAGGCAAGAUGUGGUAGCAAUCUGCAACACUUAAAUUAGUCCCUUUGUGAAGGUACUUAUCCUGGUAAUAGUGCCUUUCUCUGGUUGCACUUAAAACUCUUCACAAACAGUUUAAUUUCAAGCAGAAAAAGUUUGUAUGGAGCCAAACACUUUUAAUGUUAACAGCCACACAGAAAAGCUUGCCACAUAGGUCACAAGUAAAGUCAUUACAAGAACACAUCUGCACUUCUCAGCUGCCCCUUCGUCUCGCUUUGGGGAGGCUCUACAGACACGGUGAAAAUACCAAGUUUGCAAUCUACACUUGAAAAGAGAAACUAGAAACUAUUUUGGUUAAGGUUCUGAUGCUGUUUGCAUUCCCACCAGGGAAAAGAGAGUACACAGUCCCACAAGCCAUUCAAGCUAUUAGCCAUUGCACGGCACUGUCCUGUCCUUUCCCUGUUCUGCUGCUGCCACCAGCCUGAUAAGGGGCUCAAAGUGUUCUGUGAUAGAUUAGCUUCACCCUGAAUCGGUUCCCUGACUUAACUCCCUACAUGGCAGCAGCGAUGCUGCUCAUGCUCACACAAGGGAGAGGGGCCAUUUGGCCCUGCUAGUCAAUGGCUGGUUUGAAUGCUUAAGACAACUGAACUGUUGGCCCAGUAAUCAACAAGAGGAGGCAAAGGGGGUAGCAGAAACAAGGAGAAGGAACACAGGUUAGUUUUCCAAGAAACAGAAUAGUCUAAGAAUAAGUCAGUAGUUUCUACGGCCAUGAUUGCUGUGAAACUUCAGGCACGUCACUCACUUGAUGUGUCAAUUCCAGCUGUGAAAUGAGGACAACACUUUUUACAUCACCGAAGUGAUGUAAGUUGAAAAUUAAUGACUUGGAUACUCUGAUGAUGAGGGCCAAGUCAGUACAUAGCUAAGAGAGAGGAGUGAUUAGUGACAGGGAGGGGUGAAGGAAUCAACAUAUUAUUUUUGGUGAACUGCUUCCUUGGAGGAUAAAUGAGAGAAACUGCUACUUACUUGAUUGCAAGGAAUUGUAAGAGGUCUCUGUAGCUCCCUUGUGGGUGGACAACUGAACAAUUCAAUAGCUGUGACCUAAUUUUAGUCAGAGACCUUAUGUCACAAGGAAUUUAGAGGGAGGUGUCUUCUAUGUCCAAAUAAUAAUUGCACUCUGAAGGAUAAUUAACCAGUAUUAACACAGCCAUCCAAAAUUCAGGGACAGACUAUAUCCCACUCCCCUUCCUCAUAUUCCCAAUUCUGGAAUUUCUGACUUUGAUAUCUGGCACAGAACUGC